This is a long non-coding RNA of Oncorhynchus keta (chum salmon), 1153 nucleotides long. RefSeq lists it as uncharacterized. Lineage: Eukaryota; Metazoa; Chordata; Actinopteri; Salmoniformes; Salmonidae. The record is from RefSeq and is a predicted model, not a curated record. The transcript has 2 exons.
UUAUACUAAUUAUAUUAUAUAAUAAUAAUAAUAAUAAUAUUAUAUAUUAUAGAAAUUGCUUAUCCCAGUUACUAAUAGACACACGUUACGAACAUGACUUGUAAAAACAAAAACUGUUAAAAUCCCCUGUGGAUCGAUGAGGAAUUGAAAAAUAGUAAAUAAAUAUAUACAUUUUAGGGUUUGAGAGGGAUGAGGCUAAAGGAAUGGAAAAUAAGUCUGGCUGCACAACCGAUUGGCAAACGUACCGCACGUUGAGAAAUCAUGUGACCGAACUGAACAAAAAGAAGAAGAAACUAUGAAACAAAGGUCGAUUAAAUAAAUAAUGACAGUAAAAAGCUUUGGAGCUCCUUCAAUAAGGCAAACUCAGCUCCGUCAGUCAUUGAAUCAGAAUCAGCUCAUUCAUUAUAAAACCCCACUGUUAUUGCCAAACUACCUCAAGGAUCUUUUUAGUUGGCAAGAUAAGCAAACUUAGGCAUGAUGACACGCCAGGAACAAACGCUGACACGACACAUCGAUUGUAUAUCUGACCACAUUAUGACAGACAAGAAGUGUACUUUUGAGUUCUGUUUUAAAGUCAGUGUGGAAGAGGUGAACAAAGUAUUGACAAUAAGGACAUGCCACCGAGGGUCUGACAAUCUGGAUGGAAAAUGACUGAGGAUAAUCGCGGACGAUAUUGACACUCCCAUUUGUCACAUCUUCAAUUUAAGCCUACUAGAAAGUGUGUGACCCCUCAGGCUUGAAGGACCUGAGCCCUAAGACCGUGCCCCAGGACUACCUGACAUGAUGACUCCUUGCUGUCCCCAGUCCACCUGGCCAUGCUGCUGCUCCAGUUUCAACUGUUCUGCCUUGUUAUUAUUCGACCAUGCUGGUCAUUUAUGAACAUUUGAACAUCUUGGCCAUGUUCUGUUAUAAUCUCCACCCGGCACAGCCAGAAGAGGACUGGCCACCCCACAUAGCCUGGUUCCUCUCUAGGUUUCUUCCUAGGUUUUGGCCUUUCUAGGGAGUUUUUCCUAGCCACCGUGCUUCUACACCUGCAUUGCUUGCUGUUUGUGGUUUUAGAGAUAUCAGCUGAUAUCAGCUGAUGUACGAAGGGCUAUAUAAAUACAUUUGAUUUGAUUUGAACAAGCAUGGGAAAACGUGUUUAAACCCUUUA